GACCAGACUCCUACGGGAGGCAGCAGUGGGGAAUAUUGCACAAUGGGGGAAACCCUGAUGCAGCGACGCCGCGUGAGUGAAGAAGUAUUUCGGUACGUAAAGCUCUAUCAGCAGGGAAGAAAAAAAGUCCUUUGGACUUUGGACGGUACCUGACCAAGAAGCCCCGGCUAACUACGUGCCAGCAGCCGCGGUAAUACGUAGGGGGCAAGCGUUAUCCGGAUUUACUGGGUGUAAAGGGAGCGUAGACGGCAGCGCAAGUCUGGAGUGAAAUGCCGGGGCCCAACCCCGGAACUGCUUUGGAAACUGUGCAGCUCGAGUGCAGGAGAGGUAAGCGGAAUUCCUAGUGUAGCGGUGAAAUGCGUAGAUAUUAGGAGGAACCCCGAUUGCGAAGGCAGCCUGCCGCAGCGUUACUGACGCUGAAGCUCGAAAGCGCGGGUAUCGAACAGGAUUAGAUACCCGUGUAAC
This 465-nucleotide ribosomal RNA is filed under the name uncultured bacterium. Its description in RNAcentral is "bacterial SSU rRNA". It matches the Rfam family "Bacterial small subunit ribosomal RNA", at positions 329 to 795 of the family's 1533-position model. The record is from RNAcentral.